RNAcentral lists this ribosomal RNA (507 nucleotides) under uncultured bacterium. RNAcentral's name for it is "bacterial SSU rRNA". It matches the Rfam family "Bacterial small subunit ribosomal RNA", at positions 19 to 518 of the family's 1533-position model. The record is from RNAcentral.
AUGGCUCAGGAUGAACGCUAGCGGCAGGCUUAACACAUGCGAAGUCGGGGGGCAGCGCGGAGUAGCAAUACUCUGGCGGCGACCGGCGAAAGGGUGAGUAACGCGUGAGCAACAUGCCCGAUAGUGGAGGAUAGUCGAUGGAAACGUCGCGUAAUACUCCGUAACAUACGGGACCGCAUGAUUCUGUAUUAAUAGAUUUAUUGCUAUCGGAUUGGCUCGCGUACCAUUAGCUAGUUGGCGGGGUAACGGCCCACCAAGGCGACGAUGGUUAGGGGUUCUGAGAGGAAGGUCCCCCACAUUGGAACUGAGACACGGUCCAGACUCCUACGGGAGGCAGCAGUGAGGAAUAUUGGACAAUGGCCGGAAGGCUGAUCCAGCCAUGCCGCGUGGCGGGAAGACGGCCCUAUGGGUUGUAAACCGCUUUUGUUGGGGAGCAAUAAGGCCCACGUGUGGAUUGAUGAGAGUACCCAGCGAAUAAGCAUCGGCUAACUCCGUGCCAGCCGCCGC